This 500-nucleotide unclassified non-coding RNA is filed under the name uncultured Glomus. RNAcentral's name for it is "SSU rRNA". It matches the Rfam family "Eukaryotic small subunit ribosomal RNA", at positions 591 to 1092 of the family's 1831-position model. Lineage: Eukaryota; Fungi; Glomeromycota; Glomeromycetes; Glomerales; Glomeraceae. The record is from RNAcentral.
CCAAUAGCGUAUAUUAAAGUUGUUGCAGUUAAAAAGCUCGUAGUUGAAUUUCGGGACCAAUCUGCCGGUCGUGCCUCCGGUACGCACUGGUUUUAUUGGUUUCUCCCUUCUGACGAACCAUGAUGUCAUUAAUUUGGUGUCAUGGGGAAUCAGGACUGUUACUUUGUAAAAAUUAGAGUGUUUAUAGCAGGCUCACGCUUGAAUACAUUAGCAUGGAAUAAUGAAAUAGGACGUUUGACCCUAUUUUGUUGGUUUCUAGGAUCGACGUAAUGAUUAAUAGGGAUAGUUGGGGGCAUUAGUAUUCAAUUGUCAGAGGUGAAAUUCUUGGAUUUAUUGAAGACUAACUACUGCGAAAGCAUUUGCCAAGGAUGUUUUCAUUAAUCAAGAACGAAAGUUAGGGGAUCGAAGACGAUCAGAUACCGUCGUAGUCUUAACCAUAAACUAUGCCGACUAGGGAUCGGAUGAUGUUAAUUUUUUAAUGACUCAUUCGGCGCCUUACG